CUGGAUUCAGCAGUCAGUGGAGACCUCCACAAAAACAGUCCAGGCGAAGGGCAGUAGCAGAAGCCAGGUCUCAGAACUGCCAGUGGUUAUACCUGGAUUCUCUUCCAUGAUGUUGAGGGCCUCAAUUGCUGCAGCAGCUAACAGGGGAGGUAACGAGGCUGAAAAGCAGUAUCCCUGGCCGGAAAGUCGCUGAGAAGAAACAAAUGAGUUGAAGACAUAUACACAUUCUCCGUCCUUUCUAGCAUUUGUUUGAAUCAGGAUCCAAAUAAAGCCCGUACAUUCUGCUCUCUACUCUCAGGCGCUUCUGAGUAUUUCCUCAGUGACAACUGCUGGAAGCAUUCACAAAACUAC
Long non-coding RNA from Nomascus leucogenys (northern white-cheeked gibbon), 351 nucleotides. RefSeq lists it as uncharacterized. The record is from RefSeq and is a predicted model, not a curated record. The transcript has 3 exons. NCBI's taxonomy places the organism in Eukaryota, Metazoa, Chordata, Mammalia, Primates, Hylobatidae.